Long non-coding RNA from Dipodomys spectabilis (banner-tailed kangaroo rat), 118 nucleotides. RefSeq lists it as uncharacterized. The record is from RefSeq and is a predicted model, not a curated record. NCBI's taxonomy places the organism in Eukaryota, Metazoa, Chordata, Mammalia, Rodentia, Heteromyidae. The transcript has 3 exons.
UCAGUCCAUGGUUCCUUGGCCACAAGUGCUUGGGUAGAACAUUAUAGCAGCAGAAACAUGUAGAAGAAGAUGAGGCUGCUGUACCUGUUUGUCAAAGAUCCUGUUUUCUGUUUCUUCC